CGGGCGUGAGAAGCCGUGUGACGUGUUCUGUCCUCCCCCCAGCCUGCUGCAGGAGCUCCGGUCGGUGCACUGGCUGCCCCGGGAUGWCCCCACGUGCUACACCUUUCCCGGRCUGCAGCUGAAACUAAUGCAAGAGAACAGCCGUGCCCAAAGCCUGCUCAGGAGAUUCGUUGCCCUCUGUUCGUCCAUACCUGAGUUAGGGCGAGCUGACACCUGCGAGCAGCGAGCUGCRUCCCGGCUGCAGCGUCCGGGUGCCUCGGCAAAGCUGUCAGACUUCCUGAUCUGCCGGAACUUGGUUUCCGUUGUGCGGGCGGAGAUCACAGCAUUUGUCAGCAACGUCUUGCGGGCAGAAGGCGUCAGGCGGAAGGCUGUUCUCGGAGCACUCCUGGUGUCCGAUGCUGACAGCCGGCUGGUCCCCCAUCCCUCUCGGAAAGCUCUGGCUUUUGUGGUGGAAUCCGUCUUGCAGGUGACCCAGCGUAGGGGAAAGAACCAGGAGACCCAUCCUGAGCGGAGYUGUGGAGACCGAAAGCAUCCUGAGGAGAAACGUAGGGGAGUGGCAGGUAGCACGUACCCCUGCAUCUAG
Molecule: long non-coding RNA, 583 nt
Organism: Dromaius novaehollandiae (emu)
Lineage: Eukaryota; Metazoa; Chordata; Aves; Casuariiformes; Dromaiidae
Source: Ensembl